Molecule: ribosomal RNA, 276 nt
Filed under: uncultured bacterium
Lineage: Bacteria
Description: partial 16S ribosomal RNA
Rfam family: Bacterial small subunit ribosomal RNA
Source: RNAcentral
GCUCCUACGGGAGGCAGCAGUGGGGGAUAUUGGACAAUGGGGGAAACCCUGAUCCAGCGAUGCCGCGUGAGGGAAGAAGGUUUUCGGAUUGUAAACCUCUGUGGAGGGGGACGAUAAUGACGGUACCCCUUUAGGAGGCCACGGCGAACUACGUGCCAGCAGCCGCGGGAAUACGUAGGGGGCGAGCGUUGUCCGGAAUUACUGGGUGUAAAGUGAGUGUAGGCGGGAAAGCAAGUCAGAAGUGAAAACUAUGGGCUUAACCCAUAGCCUGCUUUU